UACGGAGGGGGCUAGCGUUAUUCGGAAUUACUGGGCGUAAAGCGCACGUAGGCGGACCAGAAAGUUAGGGGUGAAAUCCCGGGGCUCAACCUCGGAACUGCCCUUCAAAACUCCUGGUCUUGAGUUCGAGAGAGGUGAGUGGAAUUCCGAGUGUAGAGGUGAAAUUCGUAGAUAUUCGGAGGAACACCAGUGGCGAAGGCGACUCACUGGCUCGAUACUGACGCUGAGGUGCGAAAGCGUGGGGAGCAAACAGG
This 254-nucleotide ribosomal RNA is filed under the name uncultured Paracoccaceae bacterium. Its description in RNAcentral is "uncultured Rhodobacteraceae bacterium partial 16S ribosomal RNA". It matches the Rfam family "Bacterial small subunit ribosomal RNA", at positions 524 to 776 of the family's 1533-position model. Lineage: Bacteria; Pseudomonadati; Pseudomonadota; Alphaproteobacteria; Rhodobacterales; Paracoccaceae. The record is from RNAcentral.